Molecule: unclassified non-coding RNA, 387 nt
Filed under: soil metagenome
Description: partial contains 5.8S ribosomal RNA, internal transcribed spacer 2, and large subunit ribosomal RNA
Rfam family: 5.8S ribosomal RNA (bases 1-120)
Source: RNAcentral
GAUGAAGAACGUAGCGAAAUGCGAUAAGUAAUGUGAAUUGCAGAAUUCAGUGAAUCAUCGAAUCUUUGAACGCACAUUGCGCCCAUUAGUAUUCUAGUGGGCAUGCCUGUUCGAGCGUCAUUAAUUCCACUUAAGCCCUGCUUAGUGUUGGGAAUCUACUCUAGUGGUGCUACCCUGGAGCUACCCCUGAAAGGGGGCUGGCCCGGUAGCUACCCUGUAGUUCCUCAAAGAUAGUGCGCGGAGUUGCGUGGUCCUCUGAGCUUAGUAACUAUACACCUAGCUUUUGAGUGUCCCGCGGCGCCUGCCGUUUAAACCCCAUCUUUUAAUGGUUGACCUCGGAUCAGGUAGGAAUACCCACUGAACUUAAGCAUAUCAAUAAGCGGAGGA